AACGAACGCUGGCGGCGCGCCUAAUACAUGCAAGUCGAGCGAGAAGGUGUAGCAAUACACUUGUAAAGCGGCGAACGGGUGAGGAAUACAUGGGUAAUCUACCAUCGAGUGGGGAAUAACCAACCGAAAGGUUGGCUAAUACCGCGUACGCCUCCGAAUCUUCGGGUUCGGAGGGAAAGCUGCACUGUGAGUGUAGCGCUCUUUGAUGAGCUCAUGUCCUAUCAGCUUGUUGGUAGGGUAACGGCCUACCAAGGCUUUGACGGGUAGCUGGUCUGAGAGGACGAUCAGCCACACUGGCACUGCGACACGGGCCAGACUCCUACGGGAGGCAGCAGUAAGGAAUAUUGCGCAAUGGGCGAAAGCCUGACGCAGCGACGCCGCGUGGGGGAUGAAGGUCUUCGGAUUGUAAACCCCUUUCGGGAGGGAAGAUGGAGCGAGCAAUCGUUCGGACGGUACCUCCAGAAGCAGCCA
Molecule: ribosomal RNA, 471 nt
Filed under: uncultured bacterium
Lineage: Bacteria
Description: bacterial SSU rRNA
Rfam family: Bacterial small subunit ribosomal RNA
Source: RNAcentral